GGGCGUAAGGGCUCGCAGGCGGUUUCUUAAGUCUGAUGUGAAAGCCCCCGGCUCAACCGGGGAGGGUCAUUGGAAACUGGGAAACUUGAGUGCAGAAGAGGAGAGUGGAAUUCCACGUGUAGCGGUGAAAUGCGUAGAGAUGUGGAGGAACACCAGUGGCGAAGGCGACUCUCUGGUCUGUAACUGACGCUGAGGAGCGAAAGCGUGGGGAGCGAACAGGAUUAGAUACCCUGGUAGUCCACGCCGUAAACGAUGAGUGCUAAGUGUUAGGGGGUUUCCGCCCCUUAGUGCUGCAGCUAACGCAUUAAGCACUCCGCCUGGGGAGUACGGUCGCAAGACUGAAACUCAAAGGAAUUGACGGGGGCCCGCACAAGCGGUGGAGCAUGUGGUUUAAUUCGAAGCAACGCGAAGAACCUUACCAGGUCUUGACAUCCUCUGACGGCGCUAGAGAUAGGGCUUUCCCUUCGGGGACAGAGUGACAGGUGGUGCAUGGUUGUCGUCAGCUCGUGUCGUGAGAUGUUGGGUUAAGUCCCGCAACGAGCGCAACCCUUGAUCUU
Molecule: ribosomal RNA, 557 nt
Filed under: Bacillus pumilus
Lineage: Bacteria; Bacillati; Bacillota; Bacilli; Caryophanales; Bacillaceae
Description: bacterial SSU rRNA
Rfam family: Bacterial small subunit ribosomal RNA
Source: RNAcentral